This 301-nucleotide ribosomal RNA is filed under the name uncultured bacterium. RNAcentral's name for it is "partial 16S ribosomal RNA". It matches the Rfam family "Bacterial small subunit ribosomal RNA", at positions 509 to 808 of the family's 1533-position model. The record is from RNAcentral.
CAGCCGCCGCGGUAAUCCGUAGGUGGCAAGCGUUGUCCGGAAUUAUUGGGCGUAAAGGGCUCGCAGGCGGUUUCUUAAGUCUGAUGUGAAGCCCCCGGCUCAACCGGGGAGGGUCAUUGGAAACUGGGAAACUUGAGUGCAGAAGAGGAGAGUGGAAUUCCACGUGUAGCGGUGAGAUGCGUAGAGAUGUGGAGGAAUACCAGUGGCGAAGGCGACUCUCUGGUCUGUAACUGACGCUGAGGAGCGAAAGCGUGGGGAGCGAACAGGAUUAGAUACCCCCGUAGUCCCUGUCUCUUAUACA